Long non-coding RNA from Neoarius graeffei (lesser salmon catfish), 2372 nucleotides. RefSeq lists it as uncharacterized. The record is from RefSeq and is a predicted model, not a curated record. The transcript is spliced from 3 exons. NCBI's taxonomy places the organism in Eukaryota, Metazoa, Chordata, Actinopteri, Siluriformes, Ariidae.
ACAGCUGAAGACUGGAAAAACCUCGUCUGGUCUGAUGAAUCUUGAUUUCUGCUGAGGCACAUCGUAGGGUCAGAAUUUGGUGCCAACAGAAAUGAAUCCAUGGAUCCAACCUGUCUUGUGUCAACAGUCCAGGUCUGGCCAGCAGGAUACAGUCUGGGAAAGACAUACGCAUGUGGCAGUGACCAACACAACAAACAGUCAUGUCUCAUCUCCUCUGCAAAGGACAUCAAACUAAACAAGAUACUGCUGAAUCUUCAGCUGAAGGUGACGACAUGGGUUCAGCUGGUGUUAUCAGCCUGAGAGCUGGGCACGAUAGCUAUGCACAGACUCCAGAUCAGUUAUGUGGACACUAUCCCUUCACAGAUACAUCAGGGGAAACCUGGUUACAUUCCCUGCAGCUGUGACUGUGGUGGUCCAGGCCUGGAAAAUGCCUGUCAUCAGAAGGGCUGUGAUCAGAAAUCUCCACACUUUCACACCAGCAUUGAGAGAGAGGCGUAGAUGACAUCUCCCAGAUCCCUCUUUCUUCACUCUCCAUACUCCUACAGCUUUUUUUUUUUCCAACUGCUUAUCACCAACAAGUGCAGGGUCACUUACUGUGAGAGCUCAUCAGUUGAAGAUGGUUUUAAUUACUACUGCCUAAGCAAUAUUUUACUUGAAACUAUUGUUAAUAUGCUUUAAUUAGAAAAAAGUGCUUCAUAUUUCUUCACUUCUCCAUACUGUUUACAUCUAUUCUGCCUUGCCCAACUCCCCUGAGCAGAGUUUGUGCUUGUACGGUAUACACUGUAGGUUUUCUUCACAUAUCUUUCCUGUUACCCAGGUUUAUGUAUACACAACUUUUUAUAUUAGAUAUUAUGUCUUGCAUUGUGGUUACAUUCACCCAUCUGGGCAGUGUGAUUGACAGUGGGACAGAAAAGGACAUCCAGGCCAAACUUGUCAAAACUACUGCAGCCUUAAAUCUCAACAUUAAGUCUGUCCUCCUCGAUGGCUCCGAGAGCUGGAAGGUUACAAAGACAGAUAUGAGACAGAAAGAAGCAUUUCACCUUUGAUUUCAACAUCUUCUGUCCGAAUAAAAUCAGCCACAUCAUAGACAAGAAGUUGUUGUGACAUUGUCCAAGAGAUCCAGCAAGGCCAUCUGAGUUGGUUGGGCCAUGUCCUAAGGUAUGCCAGAAACAGUUGUAAUCCUAACUUGAGCUAAAUCUAGUGGUACCAGGUAUAUUUUUGGUAAAAGCUAAAUUACACUCAAUUGUAAGCAUAAGAGCUUGCACAUUUUUAAGUCCCUUAAAGAGUUACCUUAAUGCAGAGCUUCCUUGAAAAGAUGUCCAUGGAGACUUAUUUAGUGAAGACUCAAAUUAAAUUAACUCAGACAACAAGAAGUUUAAUUUCAUCAACCCAAGGACACUUUACAAAGUAAUGGUGCUACAGAAAGAGAAGCAAAUCAACCAAAAGAAAACAUGACAGGUAGGAGACACAGAAAACAAAAUGACAAUUUACAUGUGACACAGACAACAGACUAGCUCAAAGCACUGAAAAAGACAGAACAGUCAGUGAUAUAGCAGAGAGAGAAGAGAUAAGAUUUAAGAUGAUUUUUUAAUUUGUGAAGAGAUGGACAAUCCUGAAUGAAACAAUGAGGGAGAGAAUUCCACAGCUUGGGGGCUGCAACCCGAAAUGCUCUGGAACCAGUGGCAGAUAGUUUAAAUUUGGGGAUGGACAACAAACCAGAAGAUGAAAAUCUGAGACUGUGAAUGGGAGAGUAGGGUUGAAGUAAUUUCAUCAGAUAUUGAGGAGUGUAACGAUGGAGUGCUUUAAAUGUAAACAGAAUUAUUUUAUACUGAAUGCGAUACAGAACAGUGCCAGUGGAGGUUCUGGAGGAUAGGGAUGAUGUGUACUAAGCAUUUAGUGUAGGUGAGGAGAGUUUUGAAUAUAUUGAAGCUGAGCAAUUGACUUGACUAGAAAACCAAUGAACGGAGCAUUCCAGUAAUCUCAUCGUGAUGUAAUAAAAGCAUGGGUGAGUGUUUGGGCAUCCUUGGUGCUGAGUGCAAGACAAAGACAUGCAAUGUUGUGAAGAUGAAAAAAAGACUAUGAAGUCUUUGCCUUUUAUCAUAUCACUGCCAGCUGAGAGGAUCCCAAGGCACUGCAUUGGACACCACCAGGAAAGCAGAUGCCAGGUCACCUAAAAACAACAGGGUGGAGAACUUAAAGAACUGCAAUGCAGAUAGAAUGGGAGUCUCAGAGGGCAUGGCACAUGACAGACAGAAAUAGAUGGUCAUACCUCAUUGCAGGCUUAUGUCCCAUCAGGGAUGAAGAAGACAAUUAAGUAAAUAUUAUUGUUACUACAUCAAAACACUAAGCUACUGUAUAUUUUAGUGCAUGUC